RNAcentral lists this ribosomal RNA (563 nucleotides) under uncultured fungus. Its description in RNAcentral is "eukaryotic LSU rRNA". The stretch from base 145 to 298 matches the Rfam family "5.8S ribosomal RNA". Lineage: Eukaryota; Fungi. The record is from RNAcentral.
UCCGUAGGUGAACCUGCGGAAGGAUCAUUAGUGAUUUGACCUCCGGGUCUAAUAUUACAAUCCACAUACCUCUGUGAACCGUUUGACCUUCGGGUCUACAUACAAACAUCAGUGUAAUGAACGUCAAAUUAUAUAACAUAAUAAAACUUUUAACAACGGAUCUCUUGGCUCUCGCAUCGAUGAAGAACGCAGCGAAAUGCGAUAAGUAAUGUGAAUUGCAGAAUUCAGUGAAUCAUCGAAUCUUUGAACGCACCUUGCACCUUUUGGUAUUCCGAAAGGUAUGCCUGUUUGAGUGUCAUGAAAUCUCAAUCCCCUCGGGUUUACGACCUGAUUGGACUUGGACUUGGGCGUCUGCCAUCCGUGGCUCGCCUUAAAUGGAUUAGUGGGAAUAGCACUUAGCAAUUAGACGUAAUAAGUUUCGUCUGGUUCGUGUGUGACGCCUGCUCAUAACAACCAAUUUACUUCAUGUCUCUGACCUCAAAUCAGGUAGGGCUACCCGCUGAACUUAAGCUAUCAAUAAGCGGAGGAAGUCGACUGCCAAGGGCACACAGGGGGGGGGGAUA